This 480-nucleotide ribosomal RNA is filed under the name uncultured eukaryote. RNAcentral's name for it is "eukaryotic LSU rRNA". It matches the Rfam family "Eukaryotic large subunit ribosomal RNA", at positions 134 to 634 of the family's 3401-position model. The record is from RNAcentral.
GUUGUAGAAUUGUAAUCUAUAGAGUAGCUCGGAAAGUGGAGACUUAUCAUAAGGUCCUUGGAAUAGGACGCCAGAGAAGGUGAUAGCCCUGUCUUAGGAUAAGUCGAGACAAUACGAGAUGCUCUAAGAGUCGGGUAGUUUGGGAAUGCUGCCCUAAUUGGGAGAUAAACUUCUCCUAAGGCUAAAUAUUUAUAGAAGACCGAUAGCAUACAAGUACUGCGAAGGAAAGAUGAAAAGAACUUUUGAAAAAGAGGGUUAAAAGACUUGAAAUCGUUGAAAAGGAAGCAGUAAAAGAGAAAUUAUUCACCAAGUAGUUGGAAAUUAUUCUAAGUUAGGAGGUGGAGAGUAUCUAACAGAGCUCUUGCCAUCUAAUGAAAAAUAAGUGACUUUACUUGAGUGAUAGACAAAAUGAUAUUGAAUUGCAAGAAUAAGGUGAAGGAUGUAUUUCCUAGCUCGAAGUUGCAAAUCAGUAUGAGGGAU